RNAcentral lists this unclassified non-coding RNA (21 nucleotides) under Chlamydomonas reinhardtii. Its description in RNAcentral is "small RNA Cre_0975". Lineage: Eukaryota; Viridiplantae; Chlorophyta; Chlorophyceae; Chlamydomonadales; Chlamydomonadaceae. The record is from RNAcentral.
CAUCUGUAGUCUAAUGACUGA